RNAcentral lists this ribosomal RNA (606 nucleotides) under Mucor hiemalis. RNAcentral's name for it is "eukaryotic LSU rRNA". The stretch from base 207 to 359 matches the Rfam family "5.8S ribosomal RNA". The record is from RNAcentral. Lineage: Eukaryota; Fungi; Mucoromycota; Mucoromycetes; Mucorales; Mucoraceae.
UGCUAGUUUCUAGCGAAUGGUUCAUUCUUUUUUACUGUGAACUGUUUUAAUUUUUCAGCGUCUGAGGAAUGUCUUUUAGCCAUAGGGAUAGGCUACUAGAAUGUUAACCGAGCUGAAAGUCAGGCUUAGGCCUGGUAUCCUAUUAAUUAUUUACCAAAAGAAUUCAGUAUUAUAAUUGUAACAUAAGCGUAAAAAACUUAUAAAACAACUUUUAACAACGGAUCUCUUGGUUCUCGCAUCGAUGAAGAACGUAGCAAAGUGCGAUAACUAGUGUGAAUUGCAUAUUCAGUGAAUCAUCGAGUCUUUGAACGCAACUUGCGCUCAAUGGUAUUCCAUUGAGCACGCCUGUUUCAGUAUCAAAAACACCCCACAUUCAUAAUUUUGUUGUGAAUGGAAUUGAGAGUUUCGGCUUUAUUGCUGAAUUCUUUAAAAUUAUUAGGCCUGAACUAUUGUUCUUUCUGCCUGAACAUUUUUUUAAUAUAAAGGAAUGCUCUAGUAAAAAGACUAUCUCUGGGGCCUCCCAAAUAAAUCAUUCUUAAAUUUGAUCUGAAAUCAGGCGGGAUUACCCGCUGAACUUAAGCAUAUCAAUAAGCGGAGGGAAAAGAA